GCCUUAUUUAUCCAUCUUCUUGAAUCACCAUACAUUGUGCCUCAUCGUAAUAAAUAUUGAAAUGUUAUACCCCAUUCAUUAUGGCUGCCGUUAUGAUAGUCGGCUUUUGGUAGCAUUUUUCAUUUCAAUCAAAUUAGCAACAAAUUUAUUUUACCUACAUCUCUUAAAACGCUUUUAAAAAGUCAGUAAUUCCCAUUUCAAAUUUCUAAAACGUAUUUGGAACUCAAAUUGCGUUUAUUUCAAGCGUUCAUGUAUUGAAUAAUAUUUUGACAUUUUCGGGAUUUUAAUCAAAUAAAUAUCAGGCCAUCUUGAAAUAUUCUAGAACCUUCGGUUCCUUUGUUUAGUCGGCAAGAAUUCAAUCAAAUUAGCAACAACUUUUGUUUUUCCAUCCCUUGAAAUGCUAUUAAAAAUACAGUAAUUCCAAUUUCAAAUUUCUAAAACGUAUUAGGAACUCGAAUUGCGUUUAUUUCAAGCUUUCAUGUAUUGAAUAAUUUUUGACAUUUUCGGGAUUUUAAUCAAAUAUAGGCCUAUAUCAGGACAUCUUGAAAGAUUUUUCAACCUUCCGUACGUUUGUGCAGUCGUCAAGAAUUUGGGUGAAAGCCGGCCGGCCAUUGGCUGAGAAGCCCAGUUCACUUUGUUUGGAGCGCUGCGAUUGGCUCACUGAUUGGGGAUGUAGAGACAAGAUCGUGCAGGGUGCAGUCAGAGACGUGAUAGCUUCGUGGUAGCUGGUCAUCACAUCGUGUCCUACUAAUUUUCAUCGAUUGAUAUAUUUAAAUUACAGUUUAUUAUCAUUGCUUGUAUGAAUUAUGAAGCUAUUUCAAUGUCAUUAUUAGUGGUGUAAUUGAUUUUCCGGCUGUGUGAUAGUUUUGUGUAAAAUUUUAAUAUGAAGUGUCAAGUGAUGAGAACCCAAGGCCGUAACAGAGAUGUGUCAGCAACGCAUCGAUUGGAGCUUGGCUACUGAUUCACUCCUGUCAUGGACCACAGCUUUCUAGUAUGGCACUUGACAGGUGUGGACCAACAAAUUGGUGGAGGAGAGGAGAUACUUAAAGAGACGAGUUGUGCAAUGUAUUGGUGAAGCCUAGCAGCUUGGCACCUUGGUCUGAUGGAGCACACCCUUCAUCGCAGUGCGGACAGCGUGAGUGAGUCGACAGGCUUCUUCUUCUUCUUCUUCUUCUUCUUCUUCUUCUUCUUCUUCUUCUUCUUCUCCUGCUUCGUUCUCCGUAUCUCUUCUGCUACAUCAUUCUUAUAGCUGGAAGCUGACGACGAUUUGACGUUGUUUCACAAAACUGUGAGUUAGUUCUAGAUUUACCCCAGUUUGCACAAACGUCUGUUAACUUAUAAUGCCGAUUAAAUGCAGAUUGAUGAUUUAAUUUGAUUACAAUGAAAAUCUGCAGACUGCAAAACUUGAAUUUAAUUAAGUGUGUAGAUUUAAGAUUCAAGAUUUUGUGUAGAAAUUGAAAUGAACAUAACCUAUGUAUAAUACUUGGACAGUUUGAAACUAAAUUAGAGGAAGUUUUGGGCAAUAGCCUGUUUUUCUCUUUUCCGCUCAUUGAAUUGUUUGUGCUAACCUCAAUAAAUAAAUGCCACAUGUACCAAUCAGAGAAGCCUUCUUUAAAGAAAACCCUUCUCGGUUUGGUUCUCGUAGAAUUUAAUCGUGAUUAAAAUUUAACAGGCUUAUGUGCAACUGGGUCUUAGUGUAGAAUUAUCUGAAUGUCUAUAGUGAGGUCAAUGUUAUAAUGGCAGUGUUUAGUAUUGCUAUCCUUGUCUAUCAUUCAACAAAGCGGAUAGCGCUAUCUCUUGCUUUGCUUUGUUGCCAGAUCGUUUUUUAACAAUGU
This 1835-nucleotide long non-coding RNA is filed under the name Nilaparvata lugens (brown planthopper). RNAcentral's name for it is "uncharacterized LOC120354231, transcript variant X2". The record is from RNAcentral. Lineage: Eukaryota; Metazoa; Arthropoda; Insecta; Hemiptera; Delphacidae.